Molecule: ribosomal RNA, 253 nt
Filed under: uncultured bacterium
Lineage: Bacteria
Description: partial 16S ribosomal RNA
Rfam family: Bacterial small subunit ribosomal RNA
Source: RNAcentral
UACAGAGGUCUCAAGCGUUGUUCGGAUUCAUUGGGCGUAAAGGGUGCGUAGGCGGCGCGGUAAGUCGGGCGUGAAAUCUCGGAGCUUAACUCCGAAACUGCAUUCGAUACUGCCGUGCUUGAGGACUGGAGAGGAGACUGGAAUUUACGGUGUAGCGGUGAAAUGCGUAGAUAUCGUAAGGAAGACCAGUGGCGAAGGCGGGUCUCUGGGCAAUAACUGACGCUGAGGAGCGAAAGCGUGGGGAGCGAACAGG